Molecule: transfer RNA, 72 nt
Filed under: Achlya hypogyna
Lineage: Eukaryota; Oomycota; Saprolegniomycetes; Saprolegniales; Achlyaceae
Description: tRNA-Glu
Rfam family: tRNA
About the family: Transfer RNA (tRNA) molecules are approximately 80 nucleotides in length. Their secondary structure includes four short double-helical elements and three loops (D, anti-codon, and T loops).
Source: RNAcentral
GCCCUUUUAGUCUAGUGGUUAGGACCUUGCCUUUUCACGGCAAAAACACGGGUUCGAGUCCCGUAAAGGGUA